This 519-nucleotide long non-coding RNA is filed under the name Equus caballus (horse). RNAcentral describes it as "lncRNA (ENSECAG00000049200.1)". Lineage: Eukaryota; Metazoa; Chordata; Mammalia; Perissodactyla; Equidae. The record is from RNAcentral.
GUGAGCCCAGCCUGGGGAUCUCUCACCUCUUGCUGAGAUGCGCCCAGAGCCUAUCAAGUGAUGGAGUCUCCCCCAGUUUGCAGGCUUCAGUGAGGACAACGAGGAGCCCACAGUCAACCCGCAGGGACAUACAUCACGCGAAAGAAAAAUGUCUUUGUGAUUUUAAGCCACUAAGAUUUCGGGGUUGUUGAGCAACAUAACCUAGCUCAUCCUGACCAUCCACCAUCUCUCCAAGCAAGACAUCCCGUCAUCGUCCCUGAUUUACUUGUGAAGAAACUGAGGUCUUCAAAAUCGUUGUGGGCCUUUUCACCUCGGAGAUUCACAUUCUUCGGUUCUGCAAGAUUUUCUUCUUUCCCCAUGAGUGUACUUCACUGGACUGGAAGCUUUGUGGAGGCAGGGGCCAGACAGAUCUUGCUCCUCAUUCAUUUAUGGUGCCUAGUGUAGUGUAGUACUUGGAGCCCAAUGUCUAUGUGAAUGAAUGAAUGAAUGAAUGCAGGAGAAGAACAUGUACACUUUGGG